RNAcentral lists this ribosomal RNA (468 nucleotides) under uncultured bacterium. RNAcentral describes it as "partial 16S ribosomal RNA". It matches the Rfam family "Bacterial small subunit ribosomal RNA", at positions 28 to 507 of the family's 1533-position model. The record is from RNAcentral.
GACGAACGCUGGCGGCGUGCUUAACACAUGCAAGUCGAACGGAAAGGCCCUGCUUUUGUGGGGUGCUCGAGUGGCGAACGGGUGAGUAACACGUGAGUAACCUGCCCUUGACUUUGCGAUAACUUCAGGAAACUGGGGCUAAUACCGGAUAGGAGCUCCUGCUGCAUGGUGGGGGUUGGAAAGUUUCGGCGGUUGGGGAUGGACUCGCGGCUUAUCAGCUUGUUGGUGGGGUAGUGGCUUACCAAGGCUUUGACGGGUAGCCGGCCUGAGAGGGUGACCGGCCACAUUGGGACUGAGAGACGGCCCAGACUCCUACGGGAGGCAGCAGUGGGGAAUAUUGCACAAUGGGCGGAAGCCUGAUGCAGCAACGCCGCGUGCGGGAUGACGGCCUUCGGGUUGUAAACCGCUUUCGCCUGUGACGAAGCGUGAGUGACGGUAAUGGGUAAAGAAGCACCGGCUAACUACGUG